GGAUCACACUGAAAAUUAAAGCCAGCCUCCCACCCACUCGCCCUCCCAAAAAAAAGACACCCCCGCCUCGAGAGUGAAUUAAGGCCAGAGUUUACAAAGCUUGGGUGGUUUUACCAAUUACAGGACUUAAAAUGAAUAAACAAGGAAAAAAGCGUCAUUCUAAGAAGGCAGCAACCUUAUGACUUUUUUUUUUUUUCUUCUGUGGUUUGCCGACUGCUCGGCACCUAUGAGAACACACAUCUAAAACGGCAGAGGGGGGGAAACAUGGUCCUAGGGGAAACCACCAGCCUGGAAGCUAGUCUGCAACUUGCUGGAGCGCAGUUCCUUCCCUGGGCCUGGCUGGAGAUGAAUCAGCUGCUGCGCCCGAGUGCGGGACAGAUGUGGGGCGGGGAGCGAGCGGGAGGCCGCCCGUUAGAGGGCCGCGGCGUCCUAGCAUUUGAAGGAUUGUUUGUUGCUGGGAUUGGUGGCUCGGAUCCGUUGGUGAACUGGAGAGGAGGGAGGAGAGACGCAGGGAGGAGGAGUCGGGGGCCGGCCGACGCUGCGACUCCGCGGUCUGAGUGGCAGGAGCCUCGUCUGGAAGCGGGCGGUUACUGGGGAGACGCUUUGUUUGCUAACUUCGAAAGCUGCUUCGGCUGCCUCGGCGGCUUUCGAAGCCACUCAACAAAACACGCCUUCGGGUCGGCUUAACCCUCCCCCUGCCCGCUUACAGAAGCCCGGCACAAAAAUGUUUCCGUCUGCGUGCUUAUCCUUGGCCACGCGGUGGCUCUCAUUAGGUACACAAAGGUAUCUUUUUCCUCGUCGAAGUGAACUUGGCUAAUUACUGCGAUUCUCAGGCAACCGGGAUGGAAACCGAGAGUUGAAGCGACUUUAUAGGCACACAUAGUUCCAUUUGGUGUCAUCUUUUGAAGCUGCCUCAAGGCCAAGAAAAGACACAGAGUUGUGUAAGUUAAGUUACUCUUCACAGCCUGCAAACCCUUCAAAGGCAAAAACUCAGAAACUUAGAAAGGAUCCUCUGAGAAGGUGGAAAAGAAGCUGAAAGACAAUUCAAUGGCAAGAGUGCUGGAAAGUGGAGAAAGAGCAUAGACCACAAAGUUGGAAGUAUUCAUGGAAGACAGAAGAGUUUGCAGGGACAAAAAAAAAGUAAGUAAUACCACAACCCCAAAUAUCAGAAGUAAGAGAGAUUUUUCCCCGGGGAAGCAUCUGGAGAGGCUCUACGCUCAGAGACAAGAAAUCUAGCACAGUGGGGACACCUGGGUGGCCCAGUCAAUUAAGCAACCGCCUUCUG
Molecule: long non-coding RNA, 1285 nt
Organism: Leopardus geoffroyi (Geoffroy's cat)
Lineage: Eukaryota; Metazoa; Chordata; Mammalia; Carnivora; Felidae
Exons: 3
Source: RefSeq, a predicted model, not a curated record